This 620-nucleotide ribosomal RNA is filed under the name uncultured Verrucomicrobiota bacterium. Its description in RNAcentral is "bacterial SSU rRNA". It matches the Rfam family "Bacterial small subunit ribosomal RNA", at positions 69 to 680 of the family's 1533-position model. The record is from RNAcentral. Lineage: Bacteria; Pseudomonadati; Verrucomicrobiota.
UAGCCUGGUAGCAAUACUAGGUUGAGUCAGUGGCGAACGGUUGCGUAACACGUGAGUGAUCUGCCUGAAAGUGGGGGAUAGCUCGCCGAAAGGCGAAUUAAUACCGCAUGUGCCCCGAAGCAAUUCGGGGUAAAGCCGGGGCAACCUGGCGCUUGUAGAUGAGCUCGCGGCCUAUCAGCUUGUUGGUAAGGUAACGGCUUACCAAGGCUUCGACGGGUAGCUGGUCUGAGAGGACGACCAGCCACACUGGAACUGAGACACGGUCCAGACACCUACGGGUGGCAGCAGUCGAGAAUUUUUCUCAAUGGGGGAAACCCUGAAGGAGCGACGCCGCGUGGAGGAUGAAGGCUUUCGGGUUGUAAACUCCUGUCAUUUGGGAACAAUACCUUACGUUAACUGCGUGGAGGUUUGAUAGUACCAGAAGAGGAAGAGACGGCUAACUCUGUGCCAGCAGCCGCGGUAAUACAGAGGUCUCGAGCGUUGUUCGGAUUCAUUGGGCGUAAAGGGCGCGUAGGCUGCGGGGCAAGUCGGGUGUGAAAUCUCAGAGCUCAACUCUGAAACUGCACUCGAUACUGCUUUGCUUGAGGACUGGAGAGGAGAUUGGAAUUCUCGGUGUAGCA